This is a long non-coding RNA of Trichomycterus rosablanca, 478 nucleotides long. RefSeq lists it as uncharacterized. NCBI's taxonomy places the organism in Eukaryota, Metazoa, Chordata, Actinopteri, Siluriformes, Trichomycteridae. The record is from RefSeq and is a predicted model, not a curated record. The transcript has 3 exons.
CAGAUCGGGCUACGUGAUUCAUCUCCUGUUGUGCUGACACACACAUGCAGUUCAUGUGUUGCAGGCACUGCCCUAUGCAACCACAUAGUGGCUUUGCUUUUUCAAACUGCACAUUUCUCUCAGCUCAGUGUGCCAGUAGUUCCUCCUGUGCACAGCUGUACUGAAACUGAACAGCGCUGGCACAAACCUCGGACAAUUGGUGUAAAGCCAGGACCAAUCAACAACAUGAUCACCUGUGCCAAAUCAAAAGUCUCAAGGCGUAGUUAGGAGUGGACUCUACAGGGGCAUGGUGGGCCCUUUACCGGAUCCAUGCAUGUUUAGAGUGGCAGAGGCUUAUGAAAAAUUCAGCCUUGAAGACAAGCCGCUGGUGACCACCAUGGGCAUGGAACUCAACAAGCCAGCUGUGCAGUGUGCAUUUGGUAUGGUGCAGGAGGGCAGUGUUCUGUCAUAUCAGCAGCCUGUUUUACCAUCACGCUGC